CGCUCCCACGGCAUAUGGAGGUUCCCAGGCUAGGGGUUGAAUCAGAGCUGCAGGUGCCAGCCUAUACCAGAGCCACAGCCAUGGGGGAUCCAAGCCGCGUCUGCGACCUACACUACAGCUCACGGCAACGCGGGAUCCUUAACCUACUGACUGAGGCCAGAGAUCGAAUCUGCAACCUCAUGGUUCCUAGUCGGAUUCAUGAACCACUGCACCACGAUGGGAACUCUGGAUUUUUGACUCUUGUUCACUGUUAGAGCAGGAUCUGGCACACAGCAGGUCCUCAAUAGAUCUGACUGAUGAGUGAAUGGAUGGAUGAAUUUUAGUUUGCAAACUCUGGGACAAAUGGAGUGGAAGACAGAAUUUACUUCUGGUAACUGCAGCCGCUCCAGGAAAUGUUCACCAAACACUGUAAACUGAAUAGAUAAUGUUUCCCUUUUUACAUGAUUUAUCACUUUGCAAAUAUAUGUAAGUUCUUUUGUGGCUAAUAAGAAUUUAAAAGCAUGUAAUUAAUAUUAUGUAUCACUUUGUGAAAUUCUUUGGCAAUAUAAGCAGAUAUUAUAUAGGACUUAGUUUGACAAAUACCCUAAGCACUUUAAAUGUAUUUACUAACUGAGCUUCACAGCACUUAUGAGGUAGAUACUUUAGUUACCCCUAGUUUGCAGAUGCAGACACUGAGGUAAAGAGGUGCAGUGAUGGAACCAGCAUUCAAAUCCAAGCAAUCUGGAUACGAAGUUACUGCUCUUAAUCCACAGUGUUCAAUUAAUAUGGCCAAGGAGCCUUCUUUCUAGCUUGUGCAGUAACUCCUAGACUAAAAUGAUGUCUAAGAUCCUGUCCAGCCCAUAAAUGGCUGUGAGUCCAUGUAGUGAGUGCUGAUCCCCGUAUCAGUAACAUUUAAACAGCAGCACAAAAUGCAUUGACAGACAUGGCCACUUCUCCUGAGAUCCGUGGAGGUGAUGUGUAAGUUUUUCUCCAUGUAGAGAUUAAAAAGUUGUGGCUUGUCAUUCUCAAAAAUUCUGCCGAAAGUCCUGGGGUCAAAGGAAUGUGUAGACCUUACCAAAAGGCCUGGUCUCAUUUCAGCAGCAGUUUCUCUUUGUUUAGGGGCAAGUCAGGUCAUUUUAUGCCUUCGUUUAUUCCAGGUCCCUGUGGUCAGGGGCAGAAUAUACUGACACAUUUAGCCCAACGGCUUGCACUGAACCAGUUAAGUGACACUGACUUAUGACUUGCCCCUUGGGACUCUCAUUAACCAUAAGUUAUGACACCCAAGAGAACCGUGGAGAGAGUCAAAGCUUAGGAUUCAUUUUAUUUUUAGCUUAAUGGCUCCCUCUUCUCGAGUUUCAGAUCAGUGCUUUCUCGAUGGCUGCCUGUGAAAGCCGGCCAGCCUCCAGUUGGUUUAACAACACUACCUAGCCUCGUUGUUAGGAAAAAAAACGGGAAAGUCAAAAUAAAGAAGCACUUUCUCCUAUAAGAGAAAAAAAUAUCCUAGGUAGUAAUUACUCCAUUGUCUAAAAUGAUGGUAUUAGUCACUGUCUUUCCAUCAAAAUUAAACAAUACAAAGGAAUUGGCAAGAGAAGGGAACUGGUGGAAAAAGCAUUAUUUUCAUUUAGCUGCUAAUCGAAAGAGAUAAUUUCACUGUUCUUACCACUAAGAGGUACAAAAGUAACCAUUAAUUCUUGACCAUAACAAGAUUAAGUAUCUGUGGGUUAUCUUUCUUAUUUUGUGUCCUCAACUUGACAGCCUCUUGCAUGUUUUGUGGUAUUAGGUUAGGAGUUCUUAACUUUUUUCCUUUCUUUGUGGGGGUGGUGGGUCAUAUAUUCCUUGAGGAUCUGAAAAACGCCAUAGAGCUGCUCCUUGAAGACUUUCAUAAAUUGCAAUGUCAAGGGGUUCAGCUAUUCUCCUAAUUUCCACCCCACAAGGAGUAGUAGGUAAAACAUGAUCAAGAAUUACCGUGAAUAGAACUUGAGUUAUGCUGUAGGAUGCUUCAUUGAUUAGUGCCUGACUUUGAAAUGGUGGCCCAGGAAUGAGGAUUCCACCUCCUCUGGCCCUCCUUUAUUCUCAUCAUCAUCACACUUAUAACAUAAUUUAUGAACAUUUUCUCCUAUACUGUCUUGUAUCCUUUUGGUCAAGAGGCACAAAAUUUUUAAAUGUGGUAACUGAAAUUCAAAGCGGGCAACUGCCUUCCUUGUGGUGAGAAAGAGCACUGUUAAGCCCAACACAUGCAGCAGGCUGCGGACGCCUUGAAGAGACUUUCCACCAAAUUCAGUCGAUACAGCACCACACUUUAUCAGAGAAAAAACCCUCAAAUGAAAUGUACUAUUUAUGUGGAACCCCGGCUGUUGUUUGUUCUUCCUCACCAUGACACCAGAGAUUCAAUGAUUGUAAAAACAAAUCGAAUGUGUCUGCUCCUAAAUCCUUAUUUAAUGUAGUGCUAUGUGUGAUGAUGGGCCACAAAGCAAAAUAUGUAGAAUGAAGAAAGCCUACGUGGGUAGUUUCAUGUGGUGAAAAAGGUACCAAGUGGAAAGGAAAUGUGAUGCUGAAAAAUGAGUGCCUCUUCAGCACUCCUACAUUUUGCUUCUCAGGUCUUGACUAUUGACGGAAAAGGACCUAUGACUGCUUGGGCCAAAGAAAUGUCUGUUUCAUCUCUGGAGGGACGAGGCAGGACAGAAACUAGUGCCCAUUGGUGCGUGCACAGCCCAAUUCGCAUUCCUCCCUUCCUGCAGAGGCUGCACGUAGACGCUUCCCUUCCUCUUACAGGUUACCAAGCUCUCUUCAGAGAUGUGAGGUCAGACUUUAUCACUGCUCAGAUUGGAGGAGGAACAGGUGCCGCAGCAUCAGAUUCAGGAAGUAAAACAGAAGCCAAUCUCCUCAUUCAAGGGAGUUUGGAAGCAUGGGCCUUUCACUUCUCUAUUAGAGAAGCUUUAAACUAGAUCAGACCUGAGAAUGCCUCUGCCUUCCGCUCUCCUGUUCUCCUUCCCCUUCUUCUCUCCCUCUCUGGAAAUCACAGGCAGGGAAAUAUAUUUGUAGAUAGUUAAGGAUUUGUUGGACUUCCUGCCUAUACUGUGACAGGCUGUCUUCCUGAAGAUCAGGACACAGAAUUUCAUCACUUUAUGAUAAACAAGCUUUGUGUGUGUGUGUGUUUAUUAUUUUCCCAACACAAUUUUUCCCCACUGUACAGCAUGGGGACCCAGUUACACAUACAUAUAUUCAUUCUUUUUCUCCCACUGUCAUGCUCCAUUCUAAGUAUCUAGGCAUAGUUCUCAGGGCUACACAGCAGGAUCUCAUUGCUAAUCCAUUCCAAAAGCAAUAGUUUGCAUCCGUUAAUCCCAAACUCCCAAUUCAUCCCACUCCCUCCUCCUCCCCCCAGGCAAUCACAAGUCUAUUCUCCAAGUCCAUGAUUUUCUUUUCUGUGGAAAGGUUCAUUUGUGCUGUAUAUUAGAUUCCAGAUACAAGUGGUAUCAUAUGGUAUUUCUCUUUCUCUUUCUGGCUUACUUCACUCAGGAUGAGAGUCUCUCCUUCCAUCCAUGUUGCUGCAAAUGCCAUUAUUUUGUUCUUUUUAUGGCUGAGCAGUAUUCCGUUGUGUAUAUGUACCACAUCUUCCUAAUCCAAUCAUCUGUCAAUGACAUUUGGGUUGUUUCCAUGUCUCGGCUAUUGUGAAUAGUGCUGCAAUGAACAUGUGAGUGCAUGUGUCUUUUUCAAGGAAAGCUUUGUCCAGAUAUAUGCCCAAGAGUGGGAUUGCUGGGUCAUAUGGUAGUUCUAUGCAUAGAUUUCUAAGGUAACUCCAUACUGUUCUCCAUAGUGGCUGUACCAGUUUACAUUCCCACCAACAGUGCAGGAGGGUUCCCUUUUCUCCACACCCCCUCCAGCACCUGUUAUUUGUGGACUUACUAAUGAUGGCCAUUCUGACUGGUGUGAGGUGGUAUCUCAUGGUAGUUUUGAUUUGCAUUUCUCUAGUAAUCAGGGAUGUUGAGCAUUUUUUCAUGUGCUUGUUAGCCAUCGGUACAUCUUCUUUGGAGAAAUGUCUAUUCAGGUCUUUUGCCCAUUUUUCCAUUGGGUUGUUGGCUUUUUUGCUGUUGAGUUGUAUAAGUUGCUUGUAUAUUCCAGAGAUUAAGCCCUUGUCAGUUGCAUCGUUUGAAACUGUUUUCUCCCAUUCUGUAAGUUGUCUUUUUGUUUUCUCUUUGGUUUCCUUUGCUGUGCAAAAGCUUGUCAUUUUGAUUAGGUCCCGUUGGUUUAUUUUUGCUCUUAUUUCUGUUGGUUUGGGAGACUGACCUGAGCAAACAUUUCUAAGGGUGAUGUCAGAGAAUGUUUUGGCUAUGUUCUCUUCCAGGAAUUUGAUGGUGUCUUGUCUUAUAUUUAAGUCUUUAAGCCAUUUUCAGUUUUAUUUUCAUGCAUGGUGUGAGGGUGUGUUCUAGUUUCAUUGAUUUACAUGCAGCUGUCCAGGUUUCCCUGCAAUACUUGCUGAAAAGACUGUUUUUUUCCCAUUUUAUGUUCUUGCCUCCUUUGUCAAAGAUUAAUUGACCACAGGUGUCUGGGUUUAUUUCUGGGUUCUCUAUUCUGUUCCACAGGUUUGCAUGUCUGUUUUGGUACCAGUACCACACUGUCUUGAUGACUGUGGCUUUUUAAGCAAGGCCAGUGGACCCCCACCCAAAGCCACCCCUCGUGGGGAGACCACAGGAUGGGCUGUCGGGGGCCUCCCACUUAUUCUACACCUCUCAUGUCUCUUCACCGUGUCAGGCUAGAGUCAAGCUCAACAGGGUCUUCUUUCCCCACUGAUUCUGCCAAGCCCGUUCCCUUGGCUGUGGUUUCGCUGGAUAGUAGGUAGGGACAGUGGGAAUCUCAUUCAUCCAUUCAUGUGUGUCACUAAUUAGAUGACAAGGCAUUUGGCUACCUUAAGAGAGUCGUAGUUACUACCGCCGUUUACCUGCACUUCAUUCAAUUUCUUCACUUUGACAUUCAGAGCACUGGGCAGAAGUCACAUCGUGUCAACACCAGCCACGGGCCUUCGCGGAUACACAAGUUUAAUUUUAGGGAUUUGAAAAACAGUUAAAAGAUGGCUGAGGGCCGCAGAAUUAUUUGGGGGGCUAGACAUGGUUCCUACUGAUCCUUCCUCUUGAAUUAUCAGAUUUCCUCCCUAAAUAUUACUUUUGGAAAGAGUGGCUGAGCUGAAAACAGAUAAGGGAGUGUGGAAAUAAAUGAAGACCACCCAAAUGAGAGCAAAUGGAGCUUUUUAGCAGAAAAAGGGAUGGUGGAAAAAGGUGUGACUGGAAUGUAGGUUUUUGACUUGCAGAAGCAGGAAGAGGGCUGGCUAGAAGUGGGGCAACCUAUGUGGUUGAUUAGGAGAGAAUUUUUUGGUUAAUUAACUCCUGAGGUAGAAGUAGGGAUUAAAAAUAGGCAAGUUAAUGGUCACUGGCUAUGUCCUGACUCUUCUGGGCUGGCUGCUCAGAAGAUGGCCUCAGAGCUCAGUUGCUACACAUGGUCCAGCCAUUAUUAGCUUGUAUAUUCAGUCUCUCAGGAGUGACUGCUAAAGAAUGCAGCCCUUCUCCCUUUUUAGAGGAGACGUAUUAACGAUAUCUUUGCAUCUUCCUUUUCCUUCACCCUCUGGGCUCCACCUAUCACAAGUUUUCUCCUUGUCCUCCCACCAAGUUUGUGUCCAGACACAUCAUCUCCUUGUAGGGGAAUGGCUGGAAAGCUGACCUAAUCAGAUUCCUCCCUCCAUUCUCCUGACCCUUAAGUCCAUCCAGCAAAUUGGCCACUCUUUAGAUAAUUAUCCCCAAACCAGCUAUCUUUGUGACACCCAGGACCAAAGUAAAGAAAACAACACCUAAUGUGGGCUCCAUCCUUAUCAGUUAAGAUUAACUUUCUAAAAUCUUCAGCCUGAUUUUCAAAUCCCUUCAUGAUCUGGCGCACGCUGCCAAUCUGGCUUUAUUUCCUCCAUCCCCUACCACCACCUGCCUAACUCUCCAAAACUAUGGGUGGUAACCUAUGCAAAGAAAGGUCCUGGAAGGGCCUAAUGGGUUAUGCAUUUGGUCCUCAGUUAAGCCAUGGGGUUUCUCUAUGUUGUAUGGCCACAGACUAUACCCUUGUACCUGGUGGUCACCACAUAGAAAUAUGCUAUAAGGUCAAUCCUAACUCAUUUUUUAGUUUUUUUUUUUUUAAUACAAUUUUAUAAUUUAGAAAGUUUUUUUUUCUUUUCUUUUCUUUUGUUUUUGCUGUGCUCAUGUCAUGUGAAAGUUCCUGGGCCAGGGAUUGAACCCAUAUCACAAUAGCAACCCAAGCGACUGCAGUGACAACACCAGAUUCUUAACCCUCUGUGCCACAGGAGAACUCCUAGAAAGCAUUUUUCAAAUUCAUCACUUCAAAUGAUUCUCCUAACAAACCUGGGGGGAAGUUUAAUGCCAUAGUUUAUACAUGAGAGAAUACACAUAUGCUUUCAUAAUUACCUGAUUUACCCCAAAGUCAUGCAGAUAAUAGAUGGGAAGAAUAAAUAAGUAAACAAUAUUCUUAGAACCAAGCGCUGAGUAUGCAUCCACCUGACCACUUAUUGUGUAUAUUUUUUUCUGACUGCUAUAGAAUACUUGGGCAAUAUAUAAAAGGGUAAAAGUUAAAGAAAAAAAUCAUCUAUAAACACUCUUCUAUAGACAACCAAUGGUAACAUUUUGUAUAUUUCUUUGCAGUUCUUUCUCUACUACUUUGAAAUAAGUCAUCCCAAACUACAUAUAAUUUGUAUUAUUCUUUGUUAAUAAUUAUAUAUUUUACAAAGGUAUUUCCUCAUGUUUUAAAAAUUCAUGAUAAAAAGAUUAAUAUGAAUAUUUGAUGCAUAUUUAAUCUUUUGCACAUAUAAAAUGAAAUAAACAAUAUCCAAGCAACUAAACAUUUAGCUUGCUAACAAUAUUUCUAUUUUUUAAAUGCUGUCAUCAGGAGUUCCCAUUGUGGCUCAAUGGGUUAAGAACCCAACUAGUAUCCAUGAGGUUGUGGGUUCAAUCCCUGGCCUUAUUCAGCAGGCUAAGGAUCCAGAGUUGCCACAAAGUGCGGUACAGAUUGCAGAUGGAGCUUGGAUCCAGCGUUGCUGUGGCUGUGGCAUAGGCCAGCAGCUGCAGCUCCAGUUUGAUCCCUAGCCUGGGAACUUC
Molecule: long non-coding RNA, 7121 nt
Filed under: Sus scrofa (pig)
Lineage: Eukaryota; Metazoa; Chordata; Mammalia; Artiodactyla; Suidae
Description: lncRNA (ENSSSCG00000053685.1)
Source: RNAcentral